AGAGGAAGUAAAAGUCGUAACAAGGUUUCCGUAGGUGAACCUGCGGAAGGAUCAUUAUUGAAUAAAUCUGAUAAGUUGUUGCUGGUUCUCUAGGGAGCAUGUGCACGCUUGUCAUCUUCACAUUUCCACCUGUGCACCUUUUGUAGACCUGGAUAUCUCUCUGACUGCUAGUCACUCAGGUUUGGGGAUUGACUUACGUCUCUCCUUACAUUUUCAGGCCUAUGUCUCUUCACAUACCCAAUUAUAUGUUAUAGAAUGUAACUAAACGGCCUUUGUGCCUAUAAACCUAUACAACUUUCAGCAACGGAUCUCUUGGCUCUCGCAUCGAUGAAGAACGCAGCGAAAUGCGAUAAGUAAUGUGAAUUGCAGAAUUCAGUGAAUCAUCGAAUUUUUGAACGCACCUUGCGCUCCUUGGUAUUCCGAGGAGCAUGCCUGUUUGAGUGUCAUUAAUAUAUCAACCCCCUUCAGCUUUUGUUUGUCGGGUGUUGGAUGUGGGGGGUGUCUUGUUGCUGGUCUUCCAAGGUCAGCUCCCCUAAAAUUUAUUAGCGGAACAAUUGUAGACCGUUCUUUGGUGUGAUAACUAUCUACGCUAUUGACGUGAAGCAGUUCAGCUUCCAACAGUCUUUGCACAAGUUUUCAUUAAUGUGACCUCAAAUCAGGUAGGAUUACCCGCUGAACUUAAGCAUAUCAAUAAGCGGAGG
This 701-nucleotide ribosomal RNA is filed under the name Phlegmacium cephalixoides. RNAcentral describes it as "eukaryotic LSU rRNA". The stretch from base 293 to 446 matches the Rfam family "5.8S ribosomal RNA". The record is from RNAcentral. Lineage: Eukaryota; Fungi; Basidiomycota; Agaricomycetes; Agaricales; Cortinariaceae.